RNAcentral lists this ribosomal RNA (332 nucleotides) under uncultured bacterium. RNAcentral's name for it is "bacterial SSU rRNA". It matches the Rfam family "Bacterial small subunit ribosomal RNA", at positions 568 to 898 of the family's 1533-position model. The record is from RNAcentral.
CGCGUAGGCGGCUUGGGAAGUCCGUGGUGAAAGCUCGUGGCUCAACUACGAGUCGGCCAUGGAUACUCCUAAGCUCGAGUCGACUAGAGGCAGAUGGAAUUCCGGGUGUAGCGGUGGAAUGCGUAGAGAUCCGGAAGAACACCGGUGGCGAAGGCGGUCUGCUGGGGUCGAACUGACGCUGAGGCGCGACAGCGUGGGGAGCAAACAGGAUUAGAUACCCUGGUAGUCCACGCCGUAAACGAUGGGCACUAGGUGCUUGGGGGAGCGACCCCUUGAGUGCCGGCGCUAACGCAUUAAGUGCCCCGCCUGGGGAGUACGGCCGCAAGGCUGAA